Molecule: ribosomal RNA, 705 nt
Filed under: uncultured bacterium
Lineage: Bacteria
Description: bacterial SSU rRNA
Rfam family: Bacterial small subunit ribosomal RNA
Source: RNAcentral
AGGGUCCGUAGGCGGUCUAAUAAGUCAGUGGUGAAAUCCUUCCGCUUAACGGGAGAACGGCCAUUGAUACUGUUAGACUUGAAUUAUUAGGAAGUAACUAGAAUAUGUAGUGUAGCGGUGAAAUGCUUAGAGAUUACAUGGAAUACCAAUUGCGAAGGCAGGUUACUACUAAUGGAUUGACGCUGAUGGACGAAAGCGUGGGUAGCGAACAGGAUUAGAUACCCUGGUAGUCCACGCCGUAAACGAUGGAUACUAGCUGUUGGGAGUAAUCUCAGUGGCUAAGCGAAAGUGAUAAGUAUCCCACCUGGGGAGUACGUUCGCAAGAAUGAAACUCAAAGGAAUUGACGGGGGCCCGCACAAGCGGUGGAGCAUGUGGUUUAAUUCGAUGAUACGCGAGGAACCUUACCAAGGCUUAAAUGUAGUUUGACCGGUUUGGAAACAGAUCUUUCGCAAGACAAAUUACAAGGUGCUGCAUGGUUGUCGUCAGCUCGUGCCGUGAGGUGUCAGGUUAAGUCCUAUAACGAGCGCAACCCCUGUUGUUAGUUGCCAGCGAGUCAUGUCGGGAACUCUAACGAGACUGCCAGUGCAAACUGUGAGGAAGGUGGGGAUGACGUCAAAUCAUCACGGCCCUUACGCCUUGGGCUACACACGUGCUACAAUGGACGGUACAGAGAGCAGCCACUGGGUGACCAGGAGCGAAUCUAC